Pantherophis guttatus is the source of this 615-nucleotide long non-coding RNA. RefSeq lists it as uncharacterized. Lineage: Eukaryota; Metazoa; Chordata; Lepidosauria; Squamata; Colubridae. The record is from RefSeq and is a predicted model, not a curated record.
UAAAUGGCAGUUACUCUGCCUGGUGAAGAGAAAAAAACAACUGGACCAAAAGGGAGGAAAGAAGAAACUCUUCCAAGUGUUAAUAAAUUGUAUGAAUACAACAAGAGGUGGGCAACUGAUGAGGGAGGAAUAUGGACAAAGAAAGACCUGAAAUUCACAGCCCACCAAACGCUGCUGCUCUCUUCGGUCCCGGCUUCAAGUCUUGCAGCUCUGAAGGAAGCCUCUUCCUAUCAUCCUGAAAGUUCCCAAAGGGUUGCACUGGAUUUCCUCUGCAAGGGUGGCUGAGGGUUCACCCAGAUCAGGCAACAGCUGCUCCCCCAUUCAUUUGUCAAGCUAGUCAUUUGAAAUGAGAAAUAUCUAGUGGGCAGUUCAAUGAAGCAAAGUGGGGCUGGGCAUCCUUUAAAAAGCUGCAAGAUGUCAUCUUAAAUUAAAACGCAUGGAUUACUUCCAUAAGAAAGAGGUUCUCACAUUUUGUGGGUCCAGAACCAACCACCUUCUUAAGCAGGACUGCCUUUUUUCAGCGCCUUGGCAUUAUUUUACUGGCUCGGUAUUAAACGUUGUAUGUCUAUAAUUUGCUUGUGACACGAAUAAAGAAAGAUCACCUUGGCAUCACAA